RNAcentral lists this transfer RNA (63 nucleotides) under Cryptotermes longicollis. RNAcentral's name for it is "tRNA-Glu". It matches the Rfam family "tRNA". Rfam says of the family: Transfer RNA (tRNA) molecules are approximately 80 nucleotides in length. Lineage: Eukaryota; Metazoa; Arthropoda; Insecta; Blattodea; Kalotermitidae. RNAcentral also lists the same sequence under 2 other names. The record is from RNAcentral.
GUUUAUGUAGUUUAAUAAAAACAUUACAUUUUCACUGUAAAAAUAAAGAAACUUUCAUAAAUA